UCGACCAUUCUCAUCACUUUCCCUCUUUCUCCAAACCGAAAACCCUCGCUCACUUCUGCAACUCGUCACCCGGAAUCACCCGCGGCCAGCAGUCAUCGUCGGAGCUCCAAUUCAGGAUGAGAUUCGGUGAGGGCUUUGAUCCGGUGAUAGAGGCUUCAGCUCUAUUCCAUCUGGUUGGUCUUGUAUUUGGUGGAAGAGGGGACACUGCAAGCUAGUACUGUUCAGGACAGUACAAAUUGAAGCUGCCAAACAGUUGGUGAAUGAAGUAUGUCUACUUGGUAUCUUUCUGCAUAUUUGGGUACUAUGUCUACCUGGUUCAUAUAGUUUUUCUAUAGCUUAGAAUGGUUAACCCUCCUAUUUUAUGACGGAAACAAAGUAAAGUUUGAAAGAGGCUAUAUGUGUACAGGGCUGUUGCCAUUGCCAUGAGGAUCCUGAACUGAUCUUUUAUUUUGUAAUUUAGUAAAAUAUGCUAUUGUUUUCUCCUUG
Argentina anserina (silverweed cinquefoil) is the source of this 486-nucleotide long non-coding RNA. RefSeq lists it as uncharacterized. The record is from RefSeq and is a predicted model, not a curated record. Lineage: Eukaryota; Viridiplantae; Streptophyta; Magnoliopsida; Rosales; Rosaceae. The transcript has 3 exons.